Molecule: ribosomal RNA, 454 nt
Filed under: uncultured Porphyromonas sp.
Lineage: Bacteria; Pseudomonadati; Bacteroidota; Bacteroidia; Bacteroidales; Porphyromonadaceae
Description: partial 16S ribosomal RNA
Rfam family: Bacterial small subunit ribosomal RNA
Source: RNAcentral
ACGGAAGGCAGCAGUGAGGAAUAUUGGUCAAUGGAGGCAACUCUGAACCAGCCAUCUCGCGUGAAGGAAUACGGCCCUACGGGUCUUAAACUUCUUUUAUAGGGGGAUAAAGUGAGCCACGUGUGGCUUUUUGUAGGUACCCUAUGAAUAAGCAUCGGCUAACUCCGUGCCAGCAGCCGCGGUAAUACGGAGGAUGCGAGCGUUAUCUGGAUUUAUUGGGUUUAAAGGGUGCGCAGGCGGCACGUUAAGUCAGCGGUGAAAUGUCGGGGCUCAACCCGGGCACUGCCGUUGAAACUGGCGGGCUUGAGUACGGAUGAAGUCGGCGGAAUGUGAUGUGUAGCGGUGAAAUGCUUAGAUAUGUCACAGAACACCGAUUGCGAAGGCAGCUGACUAAUCCGCAACCGACGCUCAGGCACGAAAGCAUGGGUAUCAAACAGGAUUAGAUACCCUGGUA